Molecule: ribosomal RNA, 528 nt
Filed under: Junonia almana (peacock pansy)
Lineage: Eukaryota; Metazoa; Arthropoda; Insecta; Lepidoptera; Nymphalidae
Description: partial 16S ribosomal RNA
Rfam family: Bacterial large subunit ribosomal RNA
Source: RNAcentral
AAAAACAUGUCUUUUUGAUAAUAAUUUAAAGUCUAAUCUGCCCACUGAUAGAAUAUUAAAGGGCUGCAGUAUAUUGACUGUACAAAGGUAGCAUAAUCAUUAGUCUUUUAAUUGAAGACUUGUAUGAAAGAUUUGAUGAAAUAUAAACUGUCUCUAAUUUAUGUUUAGAAAUUAAUUUUUUAGUUAAAAAGCUAAAAUAAAGUUAAAAGACGAGAAGACCCUAUAGAGUUUUAUAUUUUGAUUAAUUAUUAUUAAAUAUAUAAUUAAAUAUAAUAAUUAAUUAAAAUAUUUUGUUGGGGUGAUAGAAAAAUUUAAUAAACUUUUUUUAAAAUUUGAACAUAAAUAAGUGAAUAAUUGAUCCAUUAAUAAUGAUUAAAAGAAAAAAUUACCUUAGGGAUAACAGCGUAAUAUUUUUUUUUAGUACAAAUAAAAAAAAAAGUUUGCGACCUCGAUGUUGGAUUAAGAUAAAAUUUAAAUGCAAAAGUUUAAAAUUUUGAUCUGUUCGAUCAUUAAAAUCUUACAUGAUCU